Molecule: ribosomal RNA, 257 nt
Filed under: uncultured bacterium
Lineage: Bacteria
Description: partial 16S ribosomal RNA
Rfam family: Bacterial small subunit ribosomal RNA
Source: RNAcentral
ACUCCUACGGGAGGCAGCAGUGGGAAUAUUGGACAAUGGGGGAACCCGUGAUCCAGCCAUGCCGCGUGUGUGAAGAAGGCCUUAUGGUUGUAAAGCACUUUAAGCGAGGAGGAGGCUACUGAGUAUUAAUACUACUGGAUUAGUUGGACGUUACUCGCAGAAUAAGCACCGGCUAACUCUGUGCCAGCAGCCGCGGUAAUACAGAGGGUGCGAGCGUUAAUCGGAUUUACUGGGCGUAAAGCGUGCGUAGGCGGCCA